This 21-nucleotide non-coding RNA is filed under the name Caenorhabditis elegans. Lineage: Eukaryota; Metazoa; Nematoda; Chromadorea; Rhabditida; Rhabditidae. The record is from RNAcentral.
UUUUAAAAAAUUUGUUGACUU